CCCCAUUUCAGAUUGGAAAUAACGAGAGUACAGGGCUGUGUGUAUCUGAUUCUGCAAUGCGUCUGCCAUGCCUGGGGAGCUGUUGGGAGAGGGAGCACCAUGAAGUUCACCAGCAGCCAGAAGAAGAUUCCUGAGAGGCCAAGCCAAGUGCUACCUAGAGAGGCCAGCAUGUGGGCUCCACAUUUCUGCUGAAGACGCCUGUGCCCACAAGAAGGCCUGUGUUGGUGUCAGUCUGGAAGAUUAGAGAAGCGGGCAGUGCAGAGCGAAGAGGAGACAGCAGUGGCCAGAGGUGAAACACUGAGGUAGCAGCAGAAAUUCAAAGAAAGAUGACCAGGAAAGGACAUAAGACAUUAAUGGAGCUCAUGUGAGGUAUCUAGAGGACCCAAGUGGUGUUUUUAAAAGAAGCUUA
This 409-nucleotide long non-coding RNA is filed under the name Homo sapiens (human). Its description in RNAcentral is "HSALNT0111387". Lineage: Eukaryota; Metazoa; Chordata; Mammalia; Primates; Hominidae. The record is from RNAcentral.